AGAAGCUUUACUCACUACGUGGGGACCCCUCGCCUUGGAUCACAAAGAGUCUCGACCUUCCUGGACAUCAGCUCAGACCAGAUGAUGUUAAAAAGCUUCGUUGCCGUUGCUGUCUGAUUGAUUACCAGCCAGAUACUCCCUGAACCCAUGCCCAGCCACCCACGCCUCCCUAAUUUCAAGGUCUGAAGGCCAGAUGGACUCAAGCAAGCCAUUUGCCUUUCUGAAAUCUCAGCUGCCUCAUCUGAGCAAGUGAGAUAAGCCGGCUUAUCUUGCCGCUGUGAAGCUGUCUGCAAGGCAAGGUGCCUAAUAAACGUCAGCCAUUACUCACGGGAAUCAAA
This is a long non-coding RNA of Homo sapiens (human), 338 nucleotides long. RefSeq lists it as uncharacterized. The transcript is spliced from 2 exons. NCBI's taxonomy places the organism in Eukaryota, Metazoa, Chordata, Mammalia, Primates, Hominidae. The record is from RefSeq and is a predicted model, not a curated record.